RNAcentral lists this ribosomal RNA (192 nucleotides) under Triticum aestivum (bread wheat). RNAcentral's name for it is "partial small subunit ribosomal RNA". The record is from RNAcentral. Lineage: Eukaryota; Viridiplantae; Streptophyta; Magnoliopsida; Poales; Poaceae.
AUGGUGCGAUGCAUGGCCAAGGAGCGGCGGGUGCGGAUGGUGGCGAAGCAGAUCCAGUGGGAGCUGGCGGACAUGCUGACCUGCGACCCCGUCAUGCAGCUCGCCAUCCUCCCCGAGUCCGCCCUCGGCGCCAAUUGCUACCUCUCCUCCCCCACCACCAUCGCCGACGUCGAGCUCUCCAAUGACCUCUAG